RNAcentral lists this long non-coding RNA (258 nucleotides) under Trifolium pratense (red clover). RNAcentral's name for it is "long non-coding RNA (TPRA_LNC009272)". Lineage: Eukaryota; Viridiplantae; Streptophyta; Magnoliopsida; Fabales; Fabaceae. The record is from RNAcentral.
CCACAACAGACCAAUUAACCAAACUAUUCCAAAUUCAGUGAGUACACCCUUUUUAAAUAAAAGUAGAUGAUUUCUAUAUUUGGAUGUAAAAGGACCAUUUCACAAUAAGACUUCAAAUCUGAUGGAAAUUAAGCAACCUAUUAGAACCUGUAACAUUUGCAAUGUACCUUUGAAAAAAAUUGUACAAUGUCGUGAAAAAAUUGAAUAGCAGGAAAAAACUCGGAAACAUCGCGCAAAUGGUGUGUACAGAUUGACCAG